Molecule: ribosomal RNA, 253 nt
Filed under: uncultured bacterium
Lineage: Bacteria
Description: partial 16S ribosomal RNA
Rfam family: Bacterial small subunit ribosomal RNA
Source: RNAcentral
UACGUAGGGUGCAAGCGUUGUCCGGAAUUAUUGGGCGUAAAGAGCUCGUAGGCGGUUCGUCGCGUCGGCUGUGAAAACCCGAGGCUCAACCUCGGGCCUGCAGUCGAUACGGGCGGACUGGAGUUCGGCAGGGGAGACUGGAAUUCCUGGUGUAGCGGUGAAAUGCGCAGAUAUCAGGAGGAACACCGGUGGCGAAGGCGGGUCUCUGGGCCGAUACUGACGCUGAGGAGUGAAAGCGUGGGGAGCGAACAGG